RNAcentral lists this ribosomal RNA (453 nucleotides) under Clostridioides difficile. Its description in RNAcentral is "partial 23S ribosomal RNA". It matches the Rfam family "Bacterial large subunit ribosomal RNA", at positions 2470 to 2925 of the family's 2925-position model. Lineage: Bacteria; Bacillati; Bacillota; Clostridia; Peptostreptococcales; Peptostreptococcaceae. The record is from RNAcentral.
GGGGAUAACAGGCUUAUCUCCCCCAAGAGUCCACAUCGACGGGGAGGUUUGGCACCUCGAUGUCGGCUCAUCACAUCCUGGGGCUGUAGUAGGUCCCAAGGGUUGGGCUGUUCGCCCAUUAAAGUGGUACGCGAGCUGGGUUCAGAACGUCGUGAGACAGUUCGGUCCCUAUCCGUCGCAGGCGUAGGAAAUUUGAGAAGACCUGUCCUUAGUACGAGAGGACCGGGAUGGACGUACCUCUGGUGUACCAGUUGUCCUGCCAAGGGCAUGGCUGGGUAGCUAUGUACGGAAUGGAUAAGCGCUGAAAGCAUCUAAGCGCGAAGCCAACUUCAAGAUAAGAUUUCCCACCGCAAGGGUAAGACCCCAGAAAGACUAUCUGGUUGAUAGGUCGAAGGUGUAAGUGCAGCAAUGUAUUUAGCUUAUCGAUACUAAUAGGUCGAGGACUUGACCAAU